CUUCAGCAGGGCUUCACUGCUUUGGUUUUCUGUGGGCUCCCUGGGAACAGGCCCUUAUUCAUAUUGGACAGCACUGCAUGCAAAAACCCCAAACAAGUUGGCUGCCCAGCACAAGGAGGGCACUUUGAGCAUUUGCCAUAUGGACUACACUAAAUCAUUCCAAUUACAAGUUUUUUCAAUAUCAAGCCAAGAAGAGCGCUCAGAGGAAGAAGAAUAAAGCAAGGACAGGAUUCCUUUAAAGCUGCAGCCCAGGAGUGAAAGGAGAACAAAGAAAGGCAGCCCACUGCUGCUGCAAG
Long non-coding RNA from Passer domesticus (house sparrow), 296 nucleotides. RefSeq lists it as uncharacterized. Lineage: Eukaryota; Metazoa; Chordata; Aves; Passeriformes; Passeridae. The record is from RefSeq and is a predicted model, not a curated record. The transcript has 3 exons.